Empidonax traillii (willow flycatcher) is the source of this 520-nucleotide long non-coding RNA. RefSeq lists it as uncharacterized. The record is from RefSeq and is a predicted model, not a curated record. NCBI's taxonomy places the organism in Eukaryota, Metazoa, Chordata, Aves, Passeriformes, Tyrannidae. The transcript is spliced from 4 exons.
UUCCCGACCCCAAAGGCAUCUGGAAACAAGCUAUUCCUGUUGGAUUUGCUGCUGCCUGAACACCAAGACCUUCAUCAGCCCUGUGAAGACGUGGGAGAGGUGGAUCAGCCAUGAAGAUCCUGUACCUGCUCUUUGCCUUUCUCCUGCUGCUGGUCCAGAGUGCUGCAGGAAGCAAAUUCAGAUGCAAAAUAAAUGGGGGAGACUGCAGAUUUGGGAAAUGCCAAUACGGUACAAAACCAAUUGGAAGAUGCUCAUCAUUUAGAGUGUGUUGCAAAAGCACAUGGGGUUGAGACCCUGAAAUGUCCAAGCAGGACGUUCCCCUCGCUUCUGGCUCCUGGAACCAUCUCCUGAUGUCCUCUCCCCUCCCUGCCUCUGCCUUGCCCAGCUGCUGGGACAGCAGCAGUGGCAGCUGCUCCUGCUGGGUGCUGCUGGGCUGGAGACAUCUCGUCCCAGCCGUGGGCUCUGUGGGGCAGAGGCUGCUUUUCCCAGCUUGAAUAAAGAUGAGCAGUUUGGCAUUGCA